This 1104-nucleotide long non-coding RNA is filed under the name Canis lupus familiaris (dog). RNAcentral describes it as "lncRNA (ENSCAFG00845014558.1)". The record is from RNAcentral. Lineage: Eukaryota; Metazoa; Chordata; Mammalia; Carnivora; Canidae.
AUGAAGGCUGCUGCUCUGCUGGUGGUACUGCUGUGCUCAGGUGGAGCCUGGGCCAUAAGAUGCCACAACUGCACGAACGAUAAAGGGAACACCUGCUCAGGACCUGUAGACUGCCCCAGCUACGCGAACGCCUGCGCUUCACAAGUGCUGAAUAUCAAACUGCCAGACCAGACGGUGGCCCUGGCAGCCAAGACCUGUGUGCAAUCGUGCGAGACCCUCAAUCCCAUGCCAUCCCGUGCUUCAUCCAGAGCUUCAGUCAGCGAUCUACAUGCCUCCAUCUACUGUUGCAGCACCAACCUGUGUAACCGAGCUGGGGGCCAAGGGCCAGGGGCCACCACCGUGGGCCUGAUGCUUGUGGCCAGUGUCCUUGUCACCCUCUUAGGGGCCUCCCUGUGACCCAGAGGUGUGGGACAUGAGUGAGGCAGCACAACCCAGGACACCCAGACCCCUAAGCCCCUGUCCCCAUCAGGCCGUCUGUGAGCUCGUAAAUUGAGGACAGAGUACAGAGGAGGUGGAGGGCCUGGUGGGGUGGUCACAGAGGACCACGCCCAUUUGCCCCAGAUCUUCAAGGCCAACAGAGGCACCCCACCCCAGCACACCGACGCAGAGAACCUCCUGGAGUCUUUGGCUUUUUCUGGGUAUCCUGCCCGGGGCCUUCAGCCAUCGGUGCCAGACCUACCACGGUCCUCGGGGAGCUGCUCCCCCAGCUGUGCAGAGACUUUCCGUCACCCUGGGUGGAGUGUGAACCCAAGGCCUGUCUUCCAGCCCAGAGCCACUGGCCAGGCUGGGGCUCCACCCGCAGCGUCCCCUUCCUGCGGCACUGCUUAUCCCUGUCCGACCCCCUGCCCACGCCCCCCGCUUCCCCAGGAGUAGCUCUGGAAUAAAGUUCAUGCAUGUCAGUCCUGCCUCAGCGUCUGCUUCAAGGGAACCAAACCUGAAACCCAGCUGCGGGCCCCACCACGACCUCGGAGCACAGGAGGAGAAGUGUCUUCUGUGCUGGGGUUCCAAGGUCUCUGGGCGGGUAACUCCUUCCGCCUUAUGAAACCAUUAAACAAAACCAAAAAGUGUGCAAUUUGUGUGGUACCAAGGCAGGCAGACAGGAAG